GACAUACUCCCGAGUCUUUGGAUUUACGCUUAUUCUAAGCUGCGGAGGGAGCUGGGACGUAGGAUAUUGCAGGCUCAGGCAUGAAGGCCAUGACUGAUGGUCUGGAGAAGGUCUCUUCCUCUGGGACAGGGUCUUCAGCCUUGAAGUCAAGGGAAGCAUCAUUGUAGACAUCCCACCAUUUCUGAACUAACAUCUUGAUAUCUUCUCUGUCCAUAUUAGCUUCUUUGCCUGUGUACCUCCAUGGUUUUGAUCCCUAUUUCAUUGAAUAAUACCGGAUAAAUGUCAUAAAAGUUAGCAAGGACUAUCGUUCAUUGCCGCCAAUAGAUAAAAAGCGUGCAUAUAUAGGGGAAUUGCAUAC
This 358-nucleotide long non-coding RNA is filed under the name Coffea arabica (coffee). RNAcentral describes it as "long non-coding RNA (CARA_LNC007640)". The record is from RNAcentral. Lineage: Eukaryota; Viridiplantae; Streptophyta; Magnoliopsida; Gentianales; Rubiaceae.